GGAUGUGAGGGCGAUCUGGCUGCGACAUCUGUCACCCCAUUGAUCGCCAGGGUUGAUUCGGCUGAUCUGGCUGGCUAGGCGGGUGUCCCCUUCCUCCCUCACCGCUCCAUGUGCGUCCCUCCCGAAGCUGUGCGCUCGAUCGAAGAGGAAGACCUUCCCCGCUAGAGGAGGACCGGUCUUUGGUCAAGGGUAUACGAGUAGCUGCGUUCCCCUGCUAGAACCUCCAAACAAGCUCUCAAGGUUCCCUUUUUUAAAAAGAUAUAUUUAUUUAUUUGGAAAACAGUGGCAGAAAGGCAGACAGAGAAAGAGACUUUCCUUCCCU
RNAcentral lists this small nuclear RNA (322 nucleotides) under Oryctolagus cuniculus (rabbit). RNAcentral describes it as "7SK RNA". It matches the Rfam family "7SK RNA". Rfam says of the family: 7SK was discovered as an abundant small nuclear RNA in the mid-70s but a possible function has only recently been suggested. Two independent studies have found that 7SK RNA binds the CDK9/cyclin T complex (known as elongation factor P-TEFb). P-TEFb activates transcription by phosphorylating the C-terminal domain of RNA polymerase II. The record is from Rfam by way of RNAcentral. Lineage: Eukaryota; Metazoa; Chordata; Mammalia; Lagomorpha; Leporidae.